RNAcentral lists this ribosomal RNA (468 nucleotides) under uncultured bacterium. RNAcentral's name for it is "partial 16S ribosomal RNA". It matches the Rfam family "Bacterial small subunit ribosomal RNA", at positions 28 to 507 of the family's 1533-position model. The record is from RNAcentral.
GACGAACGCUGGCGGCGUGCUUAACACAUGCAAGUCGAACGGAAAGGCCCUGCUUUUGUGGGGUGCUCGAGUGGCGAACGGGUGAGUAACACGUGAGUAACCUGCCCUUGACUUUGGGAUAACUUCAGGAAACUGGGGCUAAUACCGGAUAGGAGCUCCUGCUGCAUGGUGGGGGUUGGAAAGUUUCGGCGGUUGGGGAUGGACUCGCGGGUUAUCAGCUUGUUGGUGGGGUAGUUGCUUACCAAGGCUUUGACGGGUAGCCGGCCUGAGAGGGUGACCGGCCACAUUGGGACUGAGGUACGGCCCAGACUCCUACGGGAGGCAGCAGUGGGGAAUAUUGCACAAUGGGCGGAAGCCUGAUGCAGCAACGCCGCGUGCGGGAUGACGGCCUUCGGGUUGUAAACCGCUUUCGCCUGUGACGAAGCGUGAGUGACGGUAAUGGGUAAAGAAGCACCGGCUAACUACGUG